GGUUCAAAUCACGAAAAGACUCCAAGAAUGCCCAAGAGAACUCCUGAGAAGCAAUCCAGUUUCACUGGAGAAAUAUAUUGACUGACCUGCUGGACUGGAGCUAAAGCUGACACAACUUGUCCUGGGGGUGGGGUAAAGGUGGAUUUGCCUUUCACAUGUAAACGAGUUAUAGGAGAAAUAGAAAGAAAUGCAGCCAUGCUUAUUGUCUAUUAGCAGGAUCAUCUAUUAAAAACCACGUUUUGAAGAGAAAAUUAAGAUCUUAGAUGUGUAAGUUGUAAUAAGUCUCUACUAUGGCAGAGAGAGAAAGUGUCCUGAUUCCUAGCCCAAACAAAUGUCCAUAUGAACAGCCUUUCUGUCCAUAAAAAAUUGAGUCUUAUUGAGCACUAUGUACUAGGCAGCACCUUAAAUAUUUUCUGCUAGAUAGAUG
This 427-nucleotide long non-coding RNA is filed under the name Homo sapiens (human). Its description in RNAcentral is "long non-coding RNA NONHSAT197259". Lineage: Eukaryota; Metazoa; Chordata; Mammalia; Primates; Hominidae. The record is from RNAcentral.